GUGAGGAAUAUUGGUCAAUGGACGAGAGUCUGAACCAGCCAAGUCGCGUGAAGGAAGACGGUUCUAUGAAUUGUAAACUUCUUUUGUGCAGGAAUAAAGUGGGUUACGUGUAACCUUUUGUAUGUACUGUACGAAUAAGGAUCGGCUAACUCCGUGCCAGCAGCCGCGGUAAUACGGAGGAUCCGAGCGUUAUCCGGAUUUAUUGGGUUUAAAGGGUGCGUCGGUGGAUUGAUAAGUCAGCGGUGAAAGUUUGCAGCUUAACUGUAAAAUUGCCGUUGAAACUGUCGGUCUUGAGUGCAAAUGAGGUAGGCGGAAUGUGUUGUGUAGCGGUGAAAUGCUUAGAUAUAACACAGAACUCCGAUUGCGAAGGCAGCUUACUGGGAUGCAACUGACACUGAUGCACGAAAGCGUGGGUAUCAAACAGGAUUAGAUACCCGUGUAGUCC
RNAcentral lists this ribosomal RNA (445 nucleotides) under uncultured bacterium. Its description in RNAcentral is "partial 16S ribosomal RNA". It matches the Rfam family "Bacterial small subunit ribosomal RNA", at positions 354 to 796 of the family's 1533-position model. The record is from RNAcentral.